ACUCAAAUGAAUUGACGGGGAUCCGCACAAGCAGUGGAUUAUGCGGUUUAAUUCGAUGCAACGCGAAGAACCUUACCAGGGAUUGACAUGCCGAGAAUCUCUCAGAGAUGGGAGAGUGCCCCAAACGGAACUCGGACACAGGUGGUGCAUGGCUGUCGUCAGCUCGUACCGUAAGGCGUAGAGUUAAGUCUCGCAACGAGCGCAACCCUCGUCUUUAGUUGCUAACACUCUAAAGAGACUGCCGGUGCAAGCCGGAGGAAGGAGAGGAUGACGUCAAGUCAGCAUGCCCCUUACAUCCUGGGCUACACGCGUAAUACAAUGGUCGAGACAAUCGGCAGCGACCUCGCGAGAGCAAGCGAAUCUGACAAACUCGACCCCAGUUCGGAUUGCAGGCUGCAACUCGCCUGCAUGAAGCCGGAAUUGCUAGUAAUCGCCGGUCAGCCAUACGGCGGUGAAUACGUUCCCGGAUCUUGUACACACCGCCCGU
This 487-nucleotide ribosomal RNA is filed under the name uncultured bacterium. RNAcentral describes it as "partial 16S ribosomal RNA". It matches the Rfam family "Bacterial small subunit ribosomal RNA", at positions 899 to 1397 of the family's 1533-position model. The record is from RNAcentral.